RNAcentral lists this ribosomal RNA (502 nucleotides) under uncultured bacterium. Its description in RNAcentral is "bacterial SSU rRNA". It matches the Rfam family "Bacterial small subunit ribosomal RNA", at positions 8 to 507 of the family's 1533-position model. The record is from RNAcentral.
AGAGUUUGAUCCUGGCUCAGAUUGAACGCUGGCGGCAUGCCUUACACAUGCAAGUCGAACGGUAACGGGCCUUCGGGUGCCGACGAGUGGCGAACGGGUGAGUAAUGCAUCGGAACGUACCUUUCAGUGGGGGAUAACGUAGCGAAAGUUACGCUAAUACCGCAUAUUCUGUGAGCAGGAAAGCAGGGGAUCGCAAGACCUUGCGCUGAUUGAGCGGCCGAUGUCAGAUUAGCUAGUUGGUGAGGUAAAGGCUCACCAAGGCGACGAUCUGUAGCGGGUCUGAGAGGAUGAUCCGCCACACUGGAACUGAGACACGGUCCAGACUCCUACGGGAGGCAGCAGUGGGGAGUUUUGGACAAUGGGGGCAACCCUGAUCCAGCCAUGCCGCGUGAGUGAAGAAGGCCUUCGGGUUGUAAAGCUCUUUCGGCCGGGAAGAAAUCGCAUGGGUUAAUACCCUGUGCGGAUGACGGUACCGGCAUAAGAAGCACCGGCUAACUACGUG